Molecule: non-coding RNA, 48 nt
Filed under: Schistosoma curassoni
Lineage: Eukaryota; Metazoa; Platyhelminthes; Trematoda; Strigeidida; Schistosomatidae
Source: RNAcentral
ACCCAGCUGACGAGUUCUAAACAGGACGAAACACGCAUCAAACUGGAU